GGCGGGUUGGCAGAUCAUGUGAUCGACUUAGGAUCGGGAGAGGGGGUUUUAGUGCCUCACCCGCUU
Molecule: non-coding RNA, 66 nt
Organism: Mizuhopecten yessoensis (Yesso scallop)
Lineage: Eukaryota; Metazoa; Mollusca; Bivalvia; Pectinida; Pectinidae
Source: the annotation of a RefSeq genome assembly